RNAcentral lists this ribosomal RNA (253 nucleotides) under uncultured bacterium. RNAcentral describes it as "partial 16S ribosomal RNA". It matches the Rfam family "Bacterial small subunit ribosomal RNA", at positions 524 to 776 of the family's 1533-position model. The record is from RNAcentral.
UACGAAGGGGGCUAGCGUUGCCCGGAAUCACUGGGCGUAAAGGGUGCGUAGGCGGGUCUUUAAGUCAGGGGUGAAAUCCUGGAGCUCAACUCCAGAACUGCCUUUGAUACUGAAGAUCUUGAGUUCGGGAGAGGUGAGUGGAACUGCGAGUGUAGAGGUGAAAUUCGUAGAUAUUCGCAAGAACACCAGUGGCGAAGGCGGCUCACUGGACCGGUAUUGACGCUGAGGUGCGAAAGCGUGGGGAGCAAACAGG